Chelonoidis abingdonii (Abingdon island giant tortoise) is the source of this 102-nucleotide non-coding RNA. Lineage: Eukaryota; Metazoa; Chordata; Testudines; Testudinidae. The record is from RefSeq and is a predicted model, not a curated record.
AGGUUGUAACAUCCGCCACCAUCUUCCCCGACAUGGCAGCAAUCUAAAACCAGGGCGUCCUCUAAUCAAGUCACGUUGUCAAAGGAUCUGAUUCUUACACCA